Molecule: ribosomal RNA, 497 nt
Filed under: uncultured bacterium
Lineage: Bacteria
Description: partial 16S ribosomal RNA
Rfam family: Bacterial small subunit ribosomal RNA
Source: RNAcentral
GAUGAACGCUGGCGGCGUGCCUAAUACAUGCAAGUCGAGCGAACGGACGAGAAGCUUGCUUCUCUGAUGUUAGCGGCGGACGGGUGAGUAACACGUGGAUAACCUACCUAUAAGACUGGGAUAACUUCGGGAAACCGGAGCUAAUACCGGAUGAUAUUUUGAACCGCAUGGUUCAAAAGUGAAAGACGGUCUUGCUGUCACUUAUAGAUGGAUCCGCGCUGCAUUAGCUAGUUGGUAAGGUAACGGUUUACCAAGGCAACGAUGCGUAGCCGACCUGAGAGGGUGAUCGGCCACACUGGAACUGAGACACGGUCCAGACUCCUACGGGAGGCAGCAGUAGGGAAUCUUCCGCAAUGGGCGAAAGCCUGACGGAGCAACGCCGCGUGAGUGAUGAAGGUCUUCGGAUCGUAAAACUCUGUUAUUAGGGAAGAACAUAUGUGUAAGUAACUAUGCACGUCUUGACGGUACCUAAUCAGAAAGCCACGGCUAACUACGUG